GAUGAACGCUGGCGGCGUGCCUAAUACAUGCAAGUCGAGCGAACGGACGAGAAGCUUGCUUCCCUGAUGUUAGCGGCGGACGGGUGAGUAACACGUGGAUAACCUACCUAUAAGACUGGGAUAACUUCGGGAAACCGGAGCUAAUACCGGAUGAUACUUUGAACCGCAUGGUUCAAAAGUGAAAGACGGUCUUGCUGUCACUUAUAGAUGGAUCCGCGCUGCAUUAGCUAGUUGGUAAGGUAACGGCUUACCAAGGCAACGAUGCAUAGCCGACCUGAGAGGGUGAUCGGCCACACUGGAACUGAGACACGGUCCAGACUCCUACGGGAGGCAGCAGUAGGGAAUCUUCCGCAAUGGGCGAAAGCCUGACGGAGCAACGCCGCGUGAGUGAUGAAGGUCUUCGGAUCGUAAAACUCUGUUAUUAGGGAAGAACAUAUGUGUAAGUAACUGUGCACAUCUUGACGGUACCUAAUCAGAAAGCCACGGCUAACUACGUG
Molecule: ribosomal RNA, 497 nt
Filed under: uncultured bacterium
Lineage: Bacteria
Description: partial 16S ribosomal RNA
Rfam family: Bacterial small subunit ribosomal RNA
Source: RNAcentral